Molecule: ribosomal RNA, 203 nt
Filed under: uncultured bacterium
Lineage: Bacteria
Description: partial 16S ribosomal RNA
Rfam family: Bacterial small subunit ribosomal RNA
Source: RNAcentral
GCAGGCUGCAACUCGCCUGCAUGAAGCCGGAAUCGCUAGUAAUCGCGGAUCAGAAUGCCGCGGUGAAUACGUUCCCGGGUCUUGUACACACCGCCCGUCACACCAUGGGAGUCGGAAAUGCCCGAAGCCGGUGACCCAACCCGAAAGGGAGGGAGCCGUCGAAGGCAGGUCGGAUGACUGGGGUGAAGUCGUAACAAGGUAAC